GUCUCCAUAGCUCAGCCGGAUAGAGCACAGGUUUCCUAAACCUGGGGUCGCAGGUUCGAGUCCUGCUGGAGACG
This 74-nucleotide transfer RNA is filed under the name Brevundimonas sp. RNAcentral's name for it is "tRNA-Arg". It matches the Rfam family "tRNA". From Rfam's summary of the family: Transfer RNA (tRNA) molecules are approximately 80 nucleotides in length. The record is from RNAcentral. Lineage: Bacteria; Pseudomonadati; Pseudomonadota; Alphaproteobacteria; Caulobacterales; Caulobacteraceae.